RNAcentral lists this ribosomal RNA (334 nucleotides) under uncultured eukaryote. RNAcentral's name for it is "partial 18S ribosomal RNA". It matches the Rfam family "Eukaryotic small subunit ribosomal RNA", at positions 1470 to 1796 of the family's 1831-position model. The record is from RNAcentral.
CCCUUAGAUGUCCGGGGCCGCACGCGCGCUCCACUGAAGGAAUCAGCGUGGCUUUCUCCCUGACCCGAAAGGGUUGGGAAACCCGUUGAAUCUCCUUCGUGAUAGGGAUUGGGGCUUGAAAUUGUUCCCCAUGAACGAGGAAUUCCCAGUAAGCGCGAGUCAUAAGCUCGCGUUGAUUACGUCCCUGCCCUUUGUACACACCGCCCGUCGCUACUACCGAUUGAACGGUUUAGUGAGGGCCUCGGAUUGGUCUCGGCCCGCUCUUUACCGGGCGGCGCCGUUGGUCGAGAAGACGCUCGAACUUGAUCGUUUAGAGGAAGUAAAAGUCGUAACA